This 427-nucleotide ribosomal RNA is filed under the name uncultured bacterium. RNAcentral describes it as "bacterial SSU rRNA". It matches the Rfam family "Bacterial small subunit ribosomal RNA", at positions 354 to 796 of the family's 1533-position model. The record is from RNAcentral.
GUGGGGAAUAUUGGGCAAUGGACGCAAGUCUGACCCAGCAACGCCGCGUGAAGGAAGAAGGCUUUCGGGUUGUAAACUUCUUUUGUCAGGGAAGAGCAGAAGACGGUACCUGACGAAUAAGCCACGGCUAACUACGUGCCAGCAGCCGCGGUAAUACGUAGGUGGCAAGCGUUGUCCGGAUUUACUGGGUGUAAAGGGCGUGCAGCCGGGCCGGCAAGUCAGAUGUGAAAUCCACGGGCUUAACCCGUGAACUGCAUUUGAAACUGUUGGUCUUGAGUAUCGGAGAGGUAAUCGGAAUUCCUUGUGUAGCGGUGAAAUGCGUAGAUAUAAGGAAGAACACCAGUGGCGAAGGCGGAUUACUGGACGACAACUGACGGUGAGGCGCGAAAGCGUGGGGAGCAAACAGGAUUAGAAACCCUAGUAGUCC